Molecule: long non-coding RNA, 628 nt
Filed under: Zonotrichia albicollis (white-throated sparrow)
Lineage: Eukaryota; Metazoa; Chordata; Aves; Passeriformes; Passerellidae
Description: lncRNA (ENSZALG00000013098.1)
Source: RNAcentral
AAUUGCAGGAGUUUUGCAGAGAAAUUUUGCCAGUUGUCUGGACCCUUUGAUUGUUGGAUAAUUCAAGCACCUUGUUUUCAUGUCUUUUAAAACAAAAUAAAAAGAGGGAUCUAUUUCUUGCUUAGAAAUGGGUAAUAACAGGAGAUUCAGUAGUGACUGACUUGUUGUUUUUCUAAUCCCAGCAACUGAAAUAUUCCUUAGGAUGGUUAGAGCUCAGUUGUGUCCUGUCCUGCUGGCAUUCUCCCUGGGAGUGCUCCUCUGCAGUGGAUUGCUCCUGGCCAUCAGAAACAAACAUUCCAGGCAUUCACAGUUGAAAUUCUGAGCUCUGGAAAUAAAGGAUGUGGUAUCUUGUUGUGGUGUUGUGAGGGUCCUCAGGAUGAGGUGAGAGAUGGGAAUUUGACUCCAAGUUCUCAAAAGGCUGAUUCGUCAUAUUAUGAUAAUAUUAUGACUAUAUUUUGUUAUUAUAUUACAAUAAUAUUAUAUUAACUAUAUUAUAUUUAUUAUAUAAUGUUAUUUAUAUGAUAUUUAUUAUAUUAUAUUGAAAUGAUAUACUAAAACUAUACUAAAGAAAGGAGAGUUCUGAUUAAGGCUAGAAAAGAAUGAAUAAUAAAAACUCGUGGCAGACGCA